RNAcentral lists this small nucleolar RNA (134 nucleotides) under Echinops telfairi (small Madagascar hedgehog). RNAcentral describes it as "Small nucleolar RNA SNORA42/SNORA80 family (ENSETEG00000023062.1)". Lineage: Eukaryota; Metazoa; Chordata; Mammalia; Afrosoricida; Tenrecidae. The record is from RNAcentral.
AUAAAGAAAAUCAUGGCAGGUCCGAUCCCAUGAGCCUCUCACAGGGUCCCAUACGACAGAAAGUGAACUGUUACACUGAACCAUUGCCUGGCUUGACCCUGUGGGCUUCAGGCACUGGAGUGGGUUGCACAGUG